UCGACUCGUUUACACGACCUGACGAACUGCGUUGUGAUCGACAGGAACCUCUCCAUUAGGCGACGAUAGGGCGGCGCACCGGUACCGUUCAGUUCGUCUUGGCGACGCCGACGUGCCACUUGUCACAGAUCGUCCAUGCAAGGAGCGAGGAGAGAAAAUCGAGGCUCGAAAGUUUCUAACUUUCUGCCGAUCGUUUGUUGAUGCAUGAGGUAUGAAACAUGCUCUUCUCUUCGUGCUCUACAUGUUGGUGUAAAUGGAUUUUGAAAUUGAUCGAGUUUUGUUGGAUUGGUGUUUCUGCUGUUGUCGGCUGAUGUCGAGGCUACUGUUCCGGCAGAGUGUUCCAGAGUUCUUUGAUUCAAUUUUGAUGAUAAUUCUGGUCCUAGAACGAGCAGCAAGAGGUGGGUUGCAUUGAAAUUCAAAAUUGGUGUGGUGGAGCACAGUCGGGUAGCAGAACAAAGAGUUCGCAAGUCCGUGAAGUUUGAUAGUGAAAAGUCUGGUUUUGUUCGAAUUGGAACAAGACAUAGACAUGCAAAGGGAGAGAGAUUCAGAAGCUUGCCAGAGUUGCAUAGGAUUUCAACUUGGAGGUUUUAAAGACGAAUUGUAUGAUUGGACGAGGGCUGUCCAAGUUCAUUUUGAGUUCCACGGUGAAGAACGGGAGUGAUGGCGAAAUGUAUAAAGGAUGCAGAGCCUUGGUGCGUGGGCUAAGAACUCCAACAAUUGCAAUGGAAGAGGUAUUCAUGGUAAGUUGGGAGUUUGUAUGUAAUCCUUAACUAAUUUAAGAAAAGUAGUAACGUGAUUGAGGAGGAAAAAUGAUAUUUGUUUGGGAAUAAGUUGUGGACUGUGAGAUUAGCAUUAUUA
This is a long non-coding RNA of Rosa chinensis, 858 nucleotides long. RefSeq lists it as uncharacterized. The transcript has 3 exons. Lineage: Eukaryota; Viridiplantae; Streptophyta; Magnoliopsida; Rosales; Rosaceae. The record is from RefSeq and is a predicted model, not a curated record.